UACGUAGGGGGCGAGCGUUGUCCGGAAUUAUUGGGCGUAAAGAGCGUGUAGGCUGUUCGGUAAGUCUGCCGUGAAAACCUGAGGCUCAACCUCGGGCGUGCGGUGGAUACUGCCGGGCUAGAGGACGGUAGAGGCGAGUGGAAUUCCCGGUGUAGCGGUGAAAUGCGCAGAUAUCGGGAGGAACACCCGUGGCGAAAGCGGCUCUCUGGGACGGUACUGGCGCUGAGACGCGAAAGCGUGGGGAGCGAACAGG
Molecule: ribosomal RNA, 253 nt
Filed under: uncultured bacterium
Lineage: Bacteria
Description: partial 16S ribosomal RNA
Rfam family: Bacterial small subunit ribosomal RNA
Source: RNAcentral